Nephila pilipes (giant wood spider) is the source of this 86-nucleotide non-coding RNA. The record is from the annotation of a GenBank genome assembly. NCBI's taxonomy places the organism in Eukaryota, Metazoa, Arthropoda, Arachnida, Araneae, Nephilidae.
UUGUCAGGAUGGCCGAGCGGUCUAAGGCUCCAGAUUUAAGCUCUGGUUCUCGAAAGAGAGCGUGGGUUCGAGCCCCAUUUCUUAAU